This 478-nucleotide ribosomal RNA is filed under the name uncultured bacterium. Its description in RNAcentral is "partial 16S ribosomal RNA". It matches the Rfam family "Bacterial small subunit ribosomal RNA", at positions 28 to 523 of the family's 1533-position model. The record is from RNAcentral.
GACGAACGCUGGUGGCAUGCCUAACACAUGCAAGUCGAGCGAGUUGAUUUCUUCGGAAUGAAGCUAGCGGCGGACGGGUGAGUAACACGUGGGCAACCUGCCUCAUAGAGGGGAAUAGCCUUCCGAAAGGAAGAUUAAUACCGCAUAAGAUUGUAGUACCGCAUGGUAUAGCAAUUAAAGGAGUAAUCCGCUAUGAGAUGGGCCCGCGGCGCAUUAGCUAGUUGGUGAGGUAACGGCCCACCAAGGCGACGAUGCGUAGCCGACCUGAGAGGGUGAUCGGCCACAUUGGGACUGAGACACGGCCCAGACUCCUACGGGAGGCAGCAGUGGGGAAUAUUGCACAAUGGGGGAAACCCUGAUGCAGCAAUGCCGCGUGAGUGAUGACGGCCUUCGGGUUGUAAAGCUCUGUCUUCGGGGACGAUAAUGACGGUACCCGAGGAGGAAGCCACGGCUAACUACGUGCCAGCCGCCGCGGUAA